UCACAGUCACAGAUUCUUUAAUUUAUUACCCGCCACUCGAACGACUUUCCUGGAUUCUUCAUUCCAAUUCCUCAUGCUCAUUCAUCACAUAUCACUUUUGGACUCCCUCGCCCAGGAUGCUUACACUUAAGCACGGGACAGACCUGGACUCCCUCGCCCAGGAUGCUUACACUUAAGCACGGGACAGACCCAGGUAUUUUGGGCCUCACUCCGUCAGUCAGACGUUAAAAAACUAACUGAAUGAGCUGAUUUGGCUUUUUUUUUAUAUUUUUUGGACCUGCCACGUGGAAAUUACAAGUGAAAUUGGAAAAAGGAGGCAUGAGAGAUUCAAACUCAAUACCUGAAACUCUUCUGAGAAAGUCUGACUGACGGAGGGGUAGACGGUGCACUGCUUGAAAACAUGAGGAGUAGAAACGUCGACAAAAAUAGAGUAGGGGCAGAAUUUGCACAAACUUGAAACAUUAGGGGCCAAAAAUGUUUUUUAGCCCUUUAAUAAAUAUUUUUUAGUGUGUCAUUUUUCUUUAGUUUCUUUAGCUAAGGUUUUUUCGGUUUUCUUUAGCUAAGGUUUGAUUUAUGCAUGAGUAAUCAUAUAUACACACCUCAUUUUCUCUUUUAUUUUAUUUUCAUAUGUUUUUCUUCCUAUCUUUCUCUGCAUUUCCUGUCACAUCACAAAUUAUAUCACUCAUUUCUCUCUAAUUUUUACCUUAUCGCAUUAGGUGGAGGUGGAACUGAUUUGUGUACUAAAUAUUAUUGGUUUAUUCAGAUUGUCGAUUGUAUUAUAUUGUAUUGUAUGAUGUUUUCAGGAGAAUGAUUGAAAUGAACGACUAUUAUAUAAUUCCAAUUUCAUGAGUUUAAAUUUCUUUCUUUCUCUUAUUGUAAGGACCAAAAUUAAAUAGCAUAUCAUUUAAUAAUUUGACUUACCGGUACUUUUCGUCUCUCAUGUUAGAUCUUUGUGCAAUUUGAAUUCCCUUUAUUUAGAACGAGUGAUUUUAGUCCACAUGCUUUCAAUUUGUGUCAAUUGGGUCCUACCAUCAGUCUACCGUUGAAUUGAAACAAAAUUUACAUAUAUGGCGCUCAUUAAUGACGUUGCUAUGACUCAUUUAACCAUUAAGAUGCCACUUGGACUCCACGUAAUAAACAAUACUGUUUUUGUUCCUAUUUAACUGUCCACUUUGAGUGGAGACACACAUAUUAAGGGUGUGAUUAAUUUUGUUGAUUUUUAGAAAAAGUGAUGAUUAUUUUUCUAUUUUACUCUUUAAAGUAUGUGUUAUCUCUCCUCAUUUAUUGUACUGACAAUGACAUUUGUUGUAAAAACAUCAUUUAAUGUUCUCUUAAAAUGCUAAGUGGACAGUAAAAUAUGAACAAAAAAAUUUCUUUAAGGUGGACAGUUAAAUAGAAACGGUGGAAGUAUUAAUUAAAAUUCUGAAAAUAUAAAAAAAAAAACAUAUUUAUUUAAUUUUAAUUUAAUCAUUUCAUUAAUCUCUUAUCACUCUCCAUCUCCAAUGAAUCUGGAAAUAAGUUUCAGAACAACAAAACAAAAAGCUAUAGAAAUUGAAACAAAAAUCAACUUUUCCCCUUCCUUCACCCAAAUCCAAAAAGAAAAAAAGUUCCAGAAAGAAAAAAAUAAUCAGGCGUCAACCACACCCAAGAGGUCUAUGUCGAAACUGAUACUGGAAAAUUUUUCACCUGCACAGUUUGCAUUGACACAGUGGUGGAAAAGGAGUACUUUUACCAUGGAGGCAUACUUCCUUAUGUCACCAGGAGCAUCUAUUGGAAGUGAGAUUUGUGUACCCGUUUAACAGAGGGACAAUUGACAGAGACAUAGGACACCUUUUUCUUUGCAAGAUUUCGUUUGUUACUGAUAAUAUUGCAAAAAGUUUUUCCAAGUUGACAGAAAGUUAUAUCGAUUCAAGAUUUACUUUGCAGUUUCGAACAUGAAUAUUGGUUGUAUAGUCAUGGCAAGUUUAUGUUAGUAUUAGCUUUGUCAUAUUGGAUGCCAAGAGCUUUGU
Long non-coding RNA from Lotus japonicus, 2009 nucleotides. RefSeq lists it as uncharacterized. The transcript has 3 exons. NCBI's taxonomy places the organism in Eukaryota, Viridiplantae, Streptophyta, Magnoliopsida, Fabales, Fabaceae. The record is from RefSeq and is a predicted model, not a curated record.